AUUGAACGCUGGCGGCAGGCCUAACACAUGCAAGUCGAGCGGAUGAAGGGAGCUUGCUCCUGGAUUCAGCGGCGGACGGGUGAGUAAUGCCUAGGAAUCUGCCUGGUAGUGGGGGAUAACGUCCGGAAACGGGCGCUAAUACCGCAUACGUCCUGAGGGAGAAAGUGGGGGAUCUUCGGACCUCACGCUAUCAGAUGAGCCUAGGUCGGAUUAGCUAGUUGGUGGGGUAAAGGCCUACCAAGGCGACGAUCCGUAACUGGUCUGAGAGGAUGAUCAGUCACACUGGAACUGAGCAACGGUCCAAACCCCUCCGGAGGCAGGCAGUGGGAAAUAUUGAACAAUGGCCGAAGCCUGAUCCAGCCAUGCCGCGUGUGUGAAGAAGGUCUUCGGAUUGUAAAGCACUUUAAGUUGGGAGGAAGGGCAGUAAGUUAAUACCUUGCUGUUUUGACGUUACCAACAGAAUAAGCACCGGCUAACUUCGU
Molecule: ribosomal RNA, 482 nt
Filed under: uncultured bacterium
Lineage: Bacteria
Description: partial 16S ribosomal RNA
Rfam family: Bacterial small subunit ribosomal RNA
Source: RNAcentral